This 254-nucleotide ribosomal RNA is filed under the name uncultured bacterium. RNAcentral describes it as "partial 16S ribosomal RNA". It matches the Rfam family "Bacterial small subunit ribosomal RNA", at positions 524 to 776 of the family's 1533-position model. The record is from RNAcentral.
UACGUAGGGGGCGAGCGUUGUCCGAAGUUACUGGGCGUAAAGCGCGCGUAGGCGGCCAUCUAAGUUCGGGGUGAAAGGUUCAACGCUCAACGUGAACAGUGCCCUGAAUACUGGCUGGCUUGAGUUCGGGAGGGGGCAGUGGAAUUCCAGGUGUAGCGGUGAGAUGCGUAGAUAUCUGGAGGAACACCGAUGGCGAAGGCAGCUGCCUGGCCCAGAACUGACGCUGAGGUGCGAAAGCGUGGGGAGCGAACGGG